RNAcentral lists this non-coding RNA (21 nucleotides) under Arabidopsis thaliana (thale cress). Lineage: Eukaryota; Viridiplantae; Streptophyta; Magnoliopsida; Brassicales; Brassicaceae. The record is from RNAcentral.
CUAAAUCAGGGUUGUGGUUCG